AGAGUUUGAUCCUGGCUCAGAACGAACGCUGGCGGCGUGCCUAACACAUGCAAGUCGUACGCGAAAGGGGGCAACCCCCGGUAGCGUGGCAGACGGGUGAGUAACACGUGGGUAACCUGCCCCGAGGUGGGGAAUAACUUUCCGAAAGGAAGGCUAAUACCGCAUGACAUCGAGAGGUCCUUGGGCCUUUCGAUCAAAGCUGGCCUCUGUUUACAAGCUAGCGCCACGGGAGGGACCCGCGCCCCAUUAGCUAGUUGGUGAGGUAACGGCUCACCAAGGCAACGAUGGGUAGCCGGCCUGAGAGGGUGAUCGGCCACACUGGAACUGAGACACGGUCCAGACUCCUACGGGAGGCAGCAGUGAGGAAUAUUGCGCAAUGGGCGAAAGCCUGACGCAGCGACGCCGCGUGGAGGAUGAAGGUCUUCGGAUUGUAAACUCCUGUCGUGCGGGACGAAUGCCUCGGUCGUGAAUAACGGCCGGGGUUGACGGUACCGCAGGAGGAAGCCCCGGCUAACUCCGUGCCAGCAGCCGCGGUAAUACGGAGGGGGCCAGCGUUGUUCGGAAUCAUUGGGCGUAAAGGGCGCGUAGGCGGCCGAUCAAGUCGAACGUGAAAUCUCCCGGCUCAACCGGGAACCUGCGUCCGAUACUGUUCGGCUCGAGUCCCGGAGAGGGUAGUGGAAUUCCCAGUGUAGCGGUGAAAUGCGUAGAUACUGGGGAGGAACACCGGUGGCGAAGGCGGCUACCUGGACGGGUACUGACGCUGAGGCGCGAGAGCUGGGGGAGCAAACAGGAUUAGAUAC
Molecule: ribosomal RNA, 800 nt
Filed under: uncultured bacterium
Lineage: Bacteria
Description: bacterial SSU rRNA
Rfam family: Bacterial small subunit ribosomal RNA
Source: RNAcentral